Molecule: non-coding RNA, 145 nt
Organism: Gossypium raimondii (Peruvian cotton)
Lineage: Eukaryota; Viridiplantae; Streptophyta; Magnoliopsida; Malvales; Malvaceae
Source: Rfam
UGUUAAAAAAAUUCAUCCAUUUGUACUAUUAAAAACUGACAUUAUUGAUGUAAUAACCAGAUAGUUACAAGUGACGUACUAGGUUACCUCAUUCUAACAUAUACUGACAAUUUUCUAGCAGUAAAAAUGGAUAGAAUUUUUAACA